Phrynosoma platyrhinos (Desert horned lizard) is the source of this 71-nucleotide non-coding RNA. The record is from the annotation of a GenBank genome assembly. NCBI's taxonomy places the organism in Eukaryota, Metazoa, Chordata, Lepidosauria, Squamata, Phrynosomatidae.
GCUAGGAUGGCAUAGUGGUUUGAGUAUUGGACUAUAACUCUAGAGGCUAGGGUUCAAUUUCUGGCUCAGCC